Molecule: ribosomal RNA, 426 nt
Filed under: uncultured Paenibacillus sp.
Lineage: Bacteria; Bacillati; Bacillota; Bacilli; Caryophanales; Paenibacillaceae
Description: bacterial SSU rRNA
Rfam family: Bacterial small subunit ribosomal RNA
Source: RNAcentral
UAGGGAAUCUUCGGCAAUGGACGAAAGUCUGACCGAGCAACGCCGCGUGAGUGAUGAAGGUUUUCGGAUCGUAAAACUCUGUUGCCAGGGAAGAAUGGCUAGGCGAGUAACUGCGCUUAGUUUGACGGUACCUGAGAAGAAAGCCCCGGCUAACUACGUGCCAGCAGCCGCGGUAAUACGUAGGGGGCAAGCGUUGUCCGGAAUUAUUGGGCGUAAAGCGCGCGCAGGCGGUCAUUUAAGUCUGGUGUAUAAACCAAGGGCUCAACCUUUGGACGCAUUGGAAACUGGGUGACUGGAGUGUAGGAGAGGAAAGUGGAAUUCCACGUGUAGCGGUGAAAUGCGUAGAGAUGUGGAGGAACACCAGUGGCGAAGGCGACUUUCUGGCCUAUAACUGACGCUGAGGCGCGAAAGCGUGGGGAGCAAACA